RNAcentral lists this unclassified non-coding RNA (769 nucleotides) under Hevea brasiliensis (rubber tree). The record is from RNAcentral. Lineage: Eukaryota; Viridiplantae; Streptophyta; Magnoliopsida; Malpighiales; Euphorbiaceae.
CAAGGAAGCUCCGCUUCAGUUGCUGCAAAUUGAAACUUCUUGGUAAUGACAGCUACUUAACUUUCAAAACCCUUUAAUAUUUCCAGGAAGCAAAGGCAACCAAAUACAAAAUAAGAAGAUACAGCCAUGCAACUCUUUGCAGAUGAUCAUCAAUGCUUCCAUGAAGUAGUUGAUCCUCCAUUGAUUGCAGAGAAAAGCUAACAAGAAGUUAAAAGUACGAGUCUACAUAUACCANUUUAAACACAAAGAGUUACGUACAACUUCGUAUACACAAGUACAUACCAUCAGCAAAAGAAACCAGUAUCAUCACAUGUUCAAGAUGGUAGGCUUAAGAAGAAGCUCCCUUGAAAACAAGGAAAUUGAGGGACCCCAUGGCAAAAUAGAUGAAAGUCCCUUGUGUGUGAGUAAAGAAACAACCAAAAUUUGAACCCACCACGCAUUGCCAUCCACCACCAUACAUCUUAUCAAAUUCCUUCUUGAUGUGGGCGGCAAUUGAGAUACAAUCAGAAACAUCAUAGACAUCAAGGGCUUGAGAAGCACAUGCCAUGGCUUGGAACUGCAUCUUCACUGGCAUGUCUGUUUCCUUCACCAUAGCUUUUCCUUCCAGCAUCUCGCCCUCUAUCUCGCUUGAAUCACAAAAGGUGGUACUUUCUUCACGUUGUAUCAUAUGAUACUGGGAAUUUGUAGCAGAGAGCCAGCAUCUGAUAACUAACGAGAAGCUUCCCUAUAUAUUUGAUGAGGAAGAAGAAGACGAGGGAUGAAAUAAUCA